Molecule: ribosomal RNA, 585 nt
Filed under: uncultured bacterium
Lineage: Bacteria
Description: bacterial SSU rRNA
Rfam family: Bacterial small subunit ribosomal RNA
Source: RNAcentral
GCGGCAGGCUUAACACAUGCAAGUCGAGCGGGCCCUUCGGGGUCGGCGGCGGACGGGUGAGUAACGCGUGGGAACGUGCCUUCUGGUUCGGAAUAACUCAGGGAAACUUGAGCUAAUACCGGAUACGCCCUUUUGGGGAAAGGUUUACUGCCGGAAGAUCGGCCCGCGUCUGGUUAGCUAGUUGGUGGGGUAACGGCCUACCAAGGCGACGAUCAGUAGCUGGUCUGAGAGGAUGAUCAGCCACACUGGGACUGAGACACGGCCCAGACUCCUACGGGAGGCAGCAGUGGGGAAUAUUGGACAAUGGGCGCAAGCCUGAUCCAGCCAUGCCGCGUGAGUGAUGAAGGCCUUAGGGUUGUAAAGCUCUUUUAUCCGGGACGAUAAUGACGGUACCGGAGGAAUAAGCCCCGGCUAACUUCGUGCCAGUAGCCGCGGUAAUACGAAGGGGGCUAGCGUUGCUCGGAAUCACUGGGCGUAAAGGGCGCGUAGGCGGUCUUUUAAGUCGGGGGUGAAAGCCUGUGGCUCAACCACAGAAUUGCCUUCGAUACUGGGAGACUUGAGUUCGGAAGAGGUUGGUGGAACUGC